CCGGUCUUUUAACUCAGUUCCUUGCUUCCGCUGGACGACCGGGCCAAGCGUGGAAGCUGAAUAAUCCGUAAGGAGCAACCAAUG
This is a regulatory RNA element of 84 nucleotides. It matches the Rfam family "RpsF leader". From Rfam's summary of the family: Conserved and widely distributed to many bacterial species RNA structure. It precedes operon containing rpsF, which encodes ribosomal protein S6. The record is from Rfam.